AGAAAGGCUAAAGAGCAAUUAAGCACUGCUAACGCUUAUACCCGCGGUUAAAUUCCGCGGCCUUCUC
Molecule: transfer RNA, 67 nt
Filed under: Micronemacheilus cruciatus
Lineage: Eukaryota; Metazoa; Chordata; Actinopteri; Cypriniformes; Nemacheilidae
Description: tRNA-Ser
Source: RNAcentral